Rattus norvegicus (Norway rat) is the source of this 4906-nucleotide non-coding RNA. NCBI's taxonomy places the organism in Eukaryota, Metazoa, Chordata, Mammalia, Rodentia, Muridae. The record is from RefSeq and is a predicted model, not a curated record.
AGUGACGCGGUUUGCGUCUAGAGCGGCUCCUUGGAGUCCACAGCAUCCACCGCCGGAGCCUCGCCUUCCUUUCUCCGUCUGCAGACAUAUCGAGACACAAAAAGAGGAAACCCCUGGAUCCGUGCGAGGGACCUAUUCCCAAUAUGACCGAGACCACAAAGACCCACGUUAUCCUGCUGGCCUGCGGCAGCUUCAAUCCCAUCACUAAAGGGCACAUUCAGAUGUUCGAAAGAGCCAGGGAUUAUCUGCACAAGACUGGAAGAUUUAUUGUGAUUGGUGGUAUUGUCUCUCCAGUCCACGACUCCUAUGGAAAACAGGGUCUUGUGUCAAGUCGGCACCGUCUCAUCAUGUGUCAGCUGGCUGUCCAAAAUUCUGACUGGAUCAGGGUGGACCCAUGGGAGUGCUACCAGGACACCUGGCAGACAACCUGCAGUGUGUUAGAGCACCAUCGAGACCUCAUGAAGAGGGUGACCGGCUGCAUCCUCUCCAACGUCAACACGCCUUCCAUGACACCUGUGAUUGGACAGCCACAACACGAGAACACCCAGCCCAUUUACCAGAACAGCAAUGUGCCCACCAAGCCCACUGCAGCCAAGAUCUUGGGAAAGGUGGGAGAGAGCCUCGGCCGGAUCUGCUGUGUCCGCCCACCCGUGGAGCGCUUCACUUUUGUAGAUGAGAACGCCAACCUGGGCACAGUGAUGCGGUAUGAGGAGAUCGAGCUGCGCAUCUUGCUGCUGUGCGGUAGUGACCUGCUGGAGUCCUUCUGCAUCCCAGGACUCUGGAAUGAGGCAGAUAUGGAAGUGAUUGUUGGGGAUUUUGGGAUUGUGGUGGUGCCCCGGGAUGCAGCGGACACAGACCGAAUCAUGAAUCACUCCUCAAUACUCCGCAAAUACAAAAACAACAUCAUGGUAGUGAAGGAUGACAUCAACCAUCCCAUGUCUGUAGUCAGCUCCACCAAAAGCAGGCUGGCCCUGCAGCAUGGGGAUGGCCACGUUGUGGAUUACCUGUCCCAGCCGGUCAUCGACUACAUCCUCAAGAGUCAGCUGUACAUCAAUGCCUCGGGCUAGCAGAUACCCAGCUUUCUGCUCUACUCUCCCCUUGUCCUCUGCCAACAUACUGGCCCCCUCCAGUCACUGUCAGACCCCGGUUUCUCUCCUGCCUCUCUGUUUCUCUGUGUUCAUCUUGACUGUUCUCCCCACUGGCUGACUUAACCCCCACAGUGUGGAGGGCCUGCGAAGAACCGUGAACCGUGGCAUUCCCAUUCCACAGCCAUCUUUGGACAAACUUUCCUCUGGUCUCUGGGUUGGGGGGUGGGUAAGGGAACAGGGUGGGAUUUGGGGAAAGUGCAGCCCUUAGAGAUGUACUGGUGUCCAUAUCCCAGCAUGCUCUAGAGAGGCGGCUCUGGGGCCCAUCCUCCCAGCAUGCUCUGGGGUCGUGGCUCAGGCUCUUGCCUUCCCAGCAUGCCCUUUACCACAAAGGGCUAUUUUUUUUCCUUUUUCUUUGUCCACUUCUUGUAGAACUUGGAUGAAGUGUGUGUGUGUGUCUGCGUGUGUGUGUGUGUGUGUGUGUGUGUGUGUGUGUGUGUGUGUGUGUAGUCUUGAUGCUCUCCUGUGGUUUACUUCCCUUCUGAUAGGACACUAUAGCCAGUCUCAGCACUUGUAAGUGUGUGAGGGCCACAUCCAGGAAAGAAGGCAGAGCCCCUCUGCUUCUCCAACACACACACACACACACACACACACACACACACACACAUACACACAGACAGACAGACAUACACACACACACAGACACAUACAGACACACACACAGACACACACACAGACACACACACACAGACACACACACACAGAGACACAGACACACACACAGACACACACACACAGACACACACACACAGAGACACUGACAGACACACACACAGACACACACACAGACACACACACACAGACACACACACACAGACAUAUACAGACACACACACAGACUGACAGACACAGACACACACACAGAGACACAUACAGACAUACACACACACACACACACAGACACACACACACACCACACCACACCAGCAGCAGCAUCCCCAGACCCCUAUGGUCAAGAAUAAGACUUUCAGUGAUUGUGGUCUUGAUGCUGUGUGUCCGCCCGCUGGUAGCUUUGUGUGGGCUCCCUGCCGACCAGGCAUUUCCAGAGAGCAAAAGCCCUCGGAGGCCACAGUAAGGCAGGCUCCUGCUGGUGAGAGGAGUCACACAAGGCAAGACCAAGUCCUGAUAAUCCAUUCUUUUUUUCUUUUUAAACAUGCUAAGAAUCCACUUGACGGGAAAGAUCCUUUGCUAAUUGGCAUUAUUUAUUGCCCAUAUGGCUAGGGGCUUUAAGUCCAGAGUGAUCUGGGAGAAUGCAUUUUAGUUACCCCUGAGGAGAAUUCGUGAUCCCCACCCCCUCCCUCUGAGGUUGCCAAGCUGCGCCCAAAGCCUUUUCCUUCUUGCAAAACAAUCAGCCCUGUUUCUGAGCUGGCCCUAUCUGUCUCCUGAAGAGCCUAGCAGUCAAUGCCCUAGGAGGUCUGCCUGACACAAGAGAGCUGUCUCCUGUGUUUCUCCCCAUUUCUACCCAGUGCCCCCCUCCGCCCUUCUCUCUACCUCUGAAGACAGUUCGAGACUGAACAAGAGUCUCAUGUCCUUCCUGGAGAGCUCAUAGAAAAUGACUUUUGUGUUUUGUGUUUUCCAUCCAGCGUCUGGCUCUGGUGGCUCAUGGGGCACAGCUCCUGAGUAGCAAGAGGGCCACGUCUAACUUCUAACAUGAACCAGGUAGCAUGAGGCUCUUUGCCUUGGUUUUCCCUCCGGCCUCCUCCGCUGACUUCAGGAGGAAGAAGCUGGGUCAACAGAAGCGCCUAGGGCAUCUUCAGAGCUGUGGCUUUUCUUUAGACUGCAGAAGUGAUUUCCAGAGGGAGGGGAUUAUUUCUAUAAUCGAGAGGUCCAGUGUUUGGCUAAAAGUCAUAGAAAAGUAGAGAAAACCUGCAGGACCGGCAAAGGAGCAGAGACCCCGGGAGUCAGUGUCUGAUCCAGGAUCAGAAGCCCUGUGAGAGGAUAUUGUUUCCCUAGACAAAAGAAAACCAGGAGCUGGAUUGUGUGGGGGGAAACAUGGGGCUUUGCAGGAGCCUGACAAGGGUCCAAAAGAGCAGGCCCCAGAAAGGCUACUUUUCCUUUGUUCCUUUGGUUCACUGUGUUUCUCUUCUAAGCUCUGGUUGAGCUUCAUUCAGUCCACAGCCUGGGAUAAGGUACCAGGCUAGCCCAGCAGUCUCAGAGGGCAACAGGGAAGGAAGAGUAGGUGAGCUAUGGGAAGAAUCAAUCACACAGAAGUGCAUUUCUGGGAAGCAGAUGGUCAGAUUGUAUCUUGCUAAGGCAUGUUACAAUGGUUUUCCCUUAACAAACGGAAGUGAGUCCCCAUCCCACUGGAAAUGUUCAUUCACUUCUCUGUCUCUUUCUCCCUUUUUAGAGCCAGGGUAGGGGACCCUGCCCCUAUCCCCAUGGGAGCACAGUGUGCUGUGACCUGUCCUGGCCAACACCAGAAAGACAGUUUAUAAGUGGUGCCUUGGGUGUCAUCAGGGUGACCUUUGGGUUUGUCUUUGGGGACCCACUGUGAAAGCUAGCCUGUUACUGGCAUGGCACAGAGACGGUAAUAAAGACACCGACCGGAAUGAUACUGUCAUUUACUGUUGCCAGAAAAAAAAAGUCCCCACCAUUUUUGUUUUUGUAUUUGUUUUUGUUUUGAAGCAGCUGAUAGAACAGACAGGAAGGAAACUUUAAUAACCCUUUCCUCAAGGAAUGAGGCUGGGCCUCCCCUGGGUUGCAGGUCUGAGCCACACACUCCUAAUCCCAGGUAGUCUCUGGGCCCCUGGCUUUCACUUUCCUUGACUGUUCCAGCAAAGGAAGUUUGUUAACGGAAGUACCUGAAAUCAUAGCCAAAGUUUCAGAGAUACUGGUCUUCCUGUUUUGGCUUGGCUACACAUUCUAGUCUUGAGUUUCAGGAUCUCUGAAAGGAAUCACGAGCACUCUAUUUAAAUAAGUAAAACUCGAUAAUCAAACUGUAUGGAAAGCCGGAGGAUUACAGGGAGCCCCAAUCCACCCCCCUCCAACCCCACCCCCCUCACACCCCAUAUUCUUUCUCAUACUCUCUUGUAGGGGACUAAGAGAAGCAUGUCUAUGUAUUUGUGUUUCUUUUUUUAAAAGUAACGCAACGCCAGGUGUGGUGGCGCAUGCCUGGGAUCCCAGGACUGAAAGGUGGAGGCAGGAGGAUCAGGGGUUCAAGUCCAGCUUCUGGGCACAUAAGACCUCGUCUUGGAACAAAAACAGCAAUGUAAAAACAGAAUGAGAAAACCUCAGGACUGCUCCCCCCGUCACAGCAGGGGUACGAAGAAUGAAACAGGAUGAUUCUGCAGCUCAUGGAAGACCCCUUGGAGAUAGCCCGUGGUAAUGAGGACGGGAGUGCUCUGUGAUGCAGAUCCAACCUGUACCGUCCCAUGAGCUGACUGGCGAAUUCCACUCCUUGUGUGGUUUCUGUGUAGUGUGCGUUAGGAAGUGUCCUAGUAGCCGGUUCCAGUUGUCUAGACUGACUUGCAACCCUUUCCCACCACCUUCAGUGAGUCCCAGGGCCCACAGCUCAUCUUGAUCCUCAUGGGGUUGGAAUGGGGAGGAGGGAGCUUUUUUUUUUUUUUUUCUAGUCAUAUCUGCUAAUUUAAGAGUGAGAUUUACUUUAUGGAAGUCAACUCAAUAAAAACUGCAUUCGAGUUGCAAUACCAUUUCACAGUGAAAUAUUUUUGAGUAGAGUUUUGUUGCUAGAAUAGUCAUGGGCAAGAGUUUUAUCAGCAAAACGUUUCAAUUAUGUUAAUAAAUCAGACAAUGCUACUAGA